UACGUAGGUGGCGAGCGUUGUCCGGAUUUACUGGGCGUAAAGGGAGCGUAGGCGGGCUUUUAAGUGAGAUGUGAAAUACUCGGGCUCAACUUGAGUGCUGCAUUUCAAACUGGAAGUCUAGAGUGCAGGAGAGGAGAAUGGAAUUCCUAGUGUAGCGGUGAAAUGCGUAGAGAUUAGGAAGAACACCAGUGGCAAAGGCGAUUCUCUGGACUGUAACUGACGCUGAGGCUCGAAAGCGUGGGGAGCAAACAGG
This 253-nucleotide ribosomal RNA is filed under the name uncultured bacterium. Its description in RNAcentral is "partial 16S ribosomal RNA". It matches the Rfam family "Bacterial small subunit ribosomal RNA", at positions 524 to 776 of the family's 1533-position model. The record is from RNAcentral.